AGCGAACGCUGGCGGCAGGCCUAACACAUGCAAGUCGAACGAACUCUUCGGAGUUAGUGGCGGACGGGUGAGUAACACGUGGGAACGUGCCUUUAGGUUCGGAAUAACUCAGGGAAACUUGUGCUAAUACCGAAUGUGCCCUUCGGGGGAAAGAUUUAUCGCCUUUAGAGCGGCCCGCGUCUGAUUAGCUAGUUGGUGAGGUAAAGGCUCACCAAGGCGACGAUCAGUAGCUGGUCUGAGAGGAAGAUCAGCCACAUUGGGACUGAGACACGGCCCAAACUCCUACGGGAGGCAGCAGUGGGGAAUCUUGCGCAAUGGGCGAAAGCCUGACGCAGCCAUGCCGCGUGAAUGAUGAAGGUCUUAGGAUUGUAAAAUUCUUUCACCGGGGACGAUAAUGACGGUACCCGGAGAAGAAGCCCCGGCUAACUUCGUG
This 433-nucleotide ribosomal RNA is filed under the name uncultured bacterium. RNAcentral's name for it is "partial 16S ribosomal RNA". It matches the Rfam family "Bacterial small subunit ribosomal RNA", at positions 29 to 507 of the family's 1533-position model. The record is from RNAcentral.